This is a long non-coding RNA of Bactrocera latifrons, 833 nucleotides long. RefSeq lists it as uncharacterized. Lineage: Eukaryota; Metazoa; Arthropoda; Insecta; Diptera; Tephritidae. The transcript has 4 exons. The record is from RefSeq and is a predicted model, not a curated record.
UUUAGAAGAGUUUCGWAUUGAGAAUCGUGGAAUGCAAAAUUAAGGGGAAAUUAGCUGAAUUAUUCCAGGAAUGCAAUGUAACUGUAAAAAUACUUACUUGCAAGUGGWAAUGAGAGUGAACACACGUAGUUUUUGAUUGUUGGUGCGAAUAUUUGUUAAAAUUGGUGAAAAGUUUUUGUUUAAAGUGUUAAAUUGUGUUUUUAUUUAAUUUAAAGUUAGAAUCGUUAUUAAGUGCAAAAAAUAGUGUCGUGAAAGUCGUAGUGCGUUAGAAWMCUCGAAAGUACGAGUUUUUGUUCAAAUUCAGUAAGUGCGUAGUCGGGUUUGUUCGUGGGUGUGUAUUUUWUUGUAUUGUAUUUGUAUGUAAUAAGCUUCACGAGUUUCGCGGUUGGCUUACGUCGCGUGUGUCGGGUAUUAGGUGCUACAGUGUUGUUAUAAGAAAUAGCGCAUGGUGUAAUAUUGACAGGGCAAGUUUAAAAAGGCUUGCGACAUCUUCAACUGCUGCCACGCCUACUAUGUGUUUCGCCAUGCAACUUUAUGGAUUUGCCAAGUGUGCUUUGGGUUGCGUUAUUUGURCGCGGUAAUAAAAUUUAUGCGACGCUGAGCACGCGCGGGCGCUAAACGCUACAAAUAAACGCGGCCUAACCAACAACAACAACAACCAGUUGCAAGCAAACAAUAUAUGCAAAGGUAAACAAUUGUCUGUCGCUGCGCUGUUACAUAGGUGCGGGUGAAUGUUCACUUUACUGAUGUGGCUGCGAAGGCACGUAAUCCAGCACACAUACACAUAUAAAUAAAUAUUUAUUGCUGGAGGAAUAAGGAGUUAAUUCGGCCGU